This 179-nucleotide unclassified non-coding RNA is filed under the name uncultured fungus. RNAcentral's name for it is "sequence contains ITS1, 5.8S rRNA gene". Lineage: Eukaryota; Fungi. The record is from RNAcentral.
AAGAAUUUGAGGAUUUUAUCUUCACUUUCCAUCCGAUGUUUAAUUACACCUUUGUUGCUUCGGUUCGUCUGUCUUUCGAGACUGCUGGAGAUGGUUUCAUUUCUAGCUCGUACGAAUCGAUAGCCUUCAAAAUUCUUCUUAAUCAUGAUGUCUAAGUCAAACGUUUUAAAUUAAAAACA